RNAcentral lists this ribosomal RNA (504 nucleotides) under uncultured bacterium. RNAcentral's name for it is "bacterial SSU rRNA". It matches the Rfam family "Bacterial small subunit ribosomal RNA", at positions 15 to 507 of the family's 1533-position model. The record is from RNAcentral.
GAUCAUGGCUCAGGAUGAACGCUAGCUACAGGCUUAACACAUGCAAGUCGAGGGGCAGCAUGAACUUAGCUUGCUAAGUUUGAUGGCGACCGGCGCACGGGUGAGUAACACGUAUCCAACCUGCCAGGGUGACUCGGGGAUAGCCUUUCGAAAGAAAGAUUAAUACCCGAUGGCAUAGUUCUUCCGCAUGGUAGAACUAUUAAAGAAUUUCGGUCAUCGAUGGGGAUGCGUUCCAUUAGGUUGUUGGCGGGGUAACGGCCCACCAAGCCUUCGAUGGAUAGGGGUUCUGAGAGGAAGGUCCCCCACAUUGGAACUGAGACACGGUCCAAACUCCUACGGGAGGCAGCAGUGAGGAAUAUUGGUCAAUGGACGAGAGUCUGAACCAGCCAAGUAGCGUGCAGGAUGACGGCCCUAUGGGUUGUAAACUGCUUUUAUAAGGGAAUAAAGUGAGUCUCGUGAGACUUUUUGCAUGUACCUUAUGAAUAAGGACCGGCUAAUUCCGUG